CCGGCGAUGUCCGAAUGGGGAAACCCAGUGCAAUUCGUUGCACUAUCGUUAACUGAAUACAUAGGUUAACGAGGCGAACCGGGGGAACUGAAACAUCUAAGUACCCCGAGGAAAAGAAAUCAACCGAGAUUCCCCCAGUAGCGGCGAGCGAACGGGGAGCAGCCCAGAGUCUGAAUCAGCUUGUGUGUUAGUGGAACGGUCUGGAAAGUCCGACGGUACAGGGUGAUAGUCCCGUACACCAAAAUGCACAGGCUGUGAACUCGAAGAGUAGGGCGGGACACGUGGUAUCCUGUCUGAAUAUGGGGGGACCAUCCUCCAAGGCUAAAUACUCCUGACUGACCGAUAGUGAACCAGUACCGUGAGGGAAAGGCGAAAAGAACCCCGGCGAGGGGAGUGAAAAAGAACCUGAAACCGUGUACGUACAAGCAGUGGGAGCACCUUCGGGUGUGACUGCGUACCUUUUGUAUAAUGGGUCAGCGACUUAUAUUCUGUAGCAAGGUUAACCGUAUAGGGGAGCCGCAGGGAAACCGAGUCUUAACUGGGCGUUAAGUUGCAGGGUAUAGACCCGAAACCCGGUGAUCUAGCCAUGGGCAGGUUGAAGGUUGGGUAACACUAACUGGAGGACCGAACCGACUAAUGUUGAAAAAUUAGCGGAUGACUUGUGGCUGGGGGUGAAAGGCCAAUCAAACCGGGAGAUAGCUGGUUCUCCCCGAAAGCUAUUUAGGUAGCGCCUCGUGAAUUCAUCUUCGGGGGUAGAGCACUGUUUCGGCUAGGGGGUCAUCCCGACUUACCAACCCGAUGCAAACUACGAAUACCGAAGAAUGUUAUCACGGGAGACACACGGCGGGUGCUAACGUCCGUCGUGAAGAGGGAAACAACCCAGACCGCCAGCUAAGGUCCCAAAGUCAUGGUUAAGUGGGAAACGAUGUGGGAAGGCACAGACAGCCAGGAUGUUGGCUUAGAAGCAGCCAUCAUUUAAAGAAAGCGUAAUAGCUCACUGGUCGAGUCGGCCUGCGCGGAAGAUGUAACGGGGCUAAACCAUGCACCGAAGCUGCGGCAGCGACACUAUGUGUUGUUGGGUAGGGGAGCGUUCUGUAA
RNAcentral lists this ribosomal RNA (1098 nucleotides) under Klebsiella pneumoniae. RNAcentral's name for it is "partial 23S ribosomal RNA". It matches the Rfam family "Bacterial large subunit ribosomal RNA", at positions 104 to 1246 of the family's 2925-position model. The record is from RNAcentral. Lineage: Bacteria; Pseudomonadati; Pseudomonadota; Gammaproteobacteria; Enterobacterales; Enterobacteriaceae.